Molecule: ribosomal RNA, 432 nt
Filed under: uncultured bacterium
Lineage: Bacteria
Description: partial 16S ribosomal RNA
Rfam family: Bacterial small subunit ribosomal RNA
Source: RNAcentral
AACGAACGCUGGCGGCAUGCCUAACACAUGCAAGUCGAACGAGACCUUCGGGUCUAGUGGCGCACGGGUGCGUAACGCGUGGGAACCUGCCCUUAGGUUCGGAAUAACUCCCCGAAAGGGGUGCUAAUACCGGAUAAUGUCUUCGGACCAAAGAUUUAUCGCCUUUGGAUGGGCCCGCGUUGGAUUAGCUAGUUGGUAGGGUAAAAGCCUACCAAGGCGACGAUCCAUAGCUGGUCUGAGAGGAUGAUCAGCCACACUGGGACUGAGACACGGCCCAGACUCCUACGGGAGGCAGCAGUGGGGAAUAGUGGACAAUGGGCGAAAGCCUGAUCCAGCAAUGCCGCGGGAGUGAUGAAGGCCUUAGGGUUGUAAAGCUCUUUUACCCGGGAUGAUAAUGACAGUACCGGGAGAAUAAGCUCCGGCUAACUCCGU